AGGAGGAACAACCGCAGUGGCGGGGCCAGCUCUGCAGCCCUGGAGUCAGCCCCCGCAGUAGCUCCGGAGCUCUCCGUCUGCAGGGCCUGGAGGCUCCGGGGCGGG
Non-coding RNA from Canis lupus familiaris (dog), 105 nucleotides. The record is from Rfam. NCBI's taxonomy places the organism in Eukaryota, Metazoa, Chordata, Mammalia, Carnivora, Canidae.